This 335-nucleotide ribosomal RNA is filed under the name uncultured Planctomycetales bacterium. RNAcentral describes it as "bacterial SSU rRNA". It matches the Rfam family "Bacterial small subunit ribosomal RNA", at positions 473 to 806 of the family's 1533-position model. The record is from RNAcentral. Lineage: Bacteria; Pseudomonadati; Planctomycetota; Planctomycetia; Planctomycetales.
CUAAGGCUCCAGAGGAAGCCACGGCUAACACUGUGCCAGCAGCCGCGGUAAUACAGAGGCGGCAAGCGUUGUUCGGAAUUAUUGGGCGUAAAGAGCACGUAGGUGGGUUUGUAAGUCAGAUGUGAAAGCCUCCUGUUCAACGGGAGAAUUGCAUCUGAAACUACUGAUCUUGAGUAUAGGAGGGGAGAAUGGAACUUCUGGUGGAGCGGUGAAAUGCGUAGAUAUCAGAAGGAACGCCGGCGGCGAAAGCGAUUCUCUGGCCUAUUACUGACACUCAGUGUGCGAAAGCUAGGGGAGCAAACGGGAUUAGAUACCCCGGUAGUCCUAGCCGUAAA